Molecule: ribosomal RNA, 336 nt
Filed under: Glycosmis craibii
Lineage: Eukaryota; Viridiplantae; Streptophyta; Magnoliopsida; Sapindales; Rutaceae
Description: eukaryotic LSU rRNA
Rfam family: Eukaryotic large subunit ribosomal RNA (bases 227-336)
Source: RNAcentral
UGAGCCCCAAGCCAUCAAGCCGAGGGCACGUUUACCUGGGUGUCACGCAUCGCUGUCCCUCCCGUACGCUCUCCGCUAGCGGUUGGCCCAAAUUCGAGUCCUUGGCAACCAGAGCCGCGGCGAUCGGUGGUGAAACAAAAGCCUCUCGAGCUCCCGCAGCACGAGCCUGGUCACCCCCGUGGGGACUCCGCGGCCCAGACGCUCUGCGCUAGCAGUGCUCGCAUCGCGACCCCAGGUCUAGCGGGACUACCCGCUGAGUUUAAGCAUAUCAAUAAGCGGAGGAAAAGAAACUUACCAGGAUUCCCCUAGUAACGGCGAGCGAACCGGGAAGAGCUA